Molecule: ribosomal RNA, 549 nt
Filed under: uncultured fungus
Lineage: Eukaryota; Fungi
Description: eukaryotic LSU rRNA
Rfam family: 5.8S ribosomal RNA (bases 128-278)
Source: RNAcentral
AAGUCGUAACAAGGUUUCCGUAGGUGAACCUGCGGAAGGAUCAUUAGAAAAUCUGGCCGCAAAGCCGCUAUUUUGUGCAACGGGCACUUUACAUGUGGAUGUGACGCGAGGACAGCACGAAAGAUACAACUUUCAACAGUGGAUCUCUCGGCUCUUGCAUCGAUGAAGAACGCAGCAAAGUGCGAUAACUAAUGUGAAUCGCAACACUCGUGAAUCAUCAAGUUUUUGAACGCAUAUUGCACCUCUGGGCGACCAGGGGUAUGCCUGUUUGAGAAUUGGAACAACUACACCUGCUUCAGUGUGUGAGAUGAGCGAUCGCCCUGCGUCGCUUGAAACGCCGGCGCCGCGUAGCGAGGCUAUGUCUGUGACGCAUAUUGAGCAUUAUUGCAAACUGGUGCUUCGCAGACUGUUGGGCCCUGCUAGGUGAGUGACAACUGCAGCGCGGCUGCAGAGCCACAUGGACGGCUGCGGCAUCGCCGUGGGCACAUGUGCAAGUGCAUAGCGCACCAACUCAAUCUCAAAUCAGGUAGGAGGACCCGCUGAACUUAA